UUCGCCUGGGGAUCUUGUUAAAAUGCAGAUUCUGAUUCAGUAGGUGCUGGGCUAGGGCCUGAGACUCUGCAUUUCUCACAGGCUCCCAGGUGAUGCUAG
This 99-nucleotide microRNA precursor is filed under the name Loxodonta africana (African savanna elephant). RNAcentral's name for it is "mir-544 microRNA precursor family". It matches the Rfam family "mir-544 microRNA precursor family". The record is from Rfam by way of RNAcentral. Lineage: Eukaryota; Metazoa; Chordata; Mammalia; Proboscidea; Elephantidae.